This 392-nucleotide ribosomal RNA is filed under the name uncultured bacterium. RNAcentral's name for it is "partial 16S ribosomal RNA". It matches the Rfam family "Bacterial small subunit ribosomal RNA", at positions 338 to 727 of the family's 1533-position model. The record is from RNAcentral.
CCUACGGGUGGCAGCAGUGAGGAAUAUUGGUCAAUGGUCGGGAGCCUGAACCAGCCAAGCCGCGUGAGGGAUGAAGGUCCAGAGGAUCGUAAACCUCUUUUGUCAGGGAACAAAGGCGGGGACGUGUCCCCGGAUGAGUGUACCUGAAGAAUAAGCAUCGGCUAACUCCGUGCCAGCAGCCGCGGUAAUACGGAGGAUACGAGCGUUAUCCGGAUUUAUUGGGUUUAAAGGGUGCGCCGGUGGGCUGUUAAAGCAGCUGUAAAAAUCUCGGGGUCAACCCCAGCACCGCCGUUGAGACUGGCAGUCUCGAGUUGGAGAGAAGUAUGCGGAAUGCGCGGUGUAGCGGUGAAAUGCAUAGAUAUCGCGCAGAACUCCGAUUGCGAAGGCAGCAU